AUCGCGGCGACGCGAGCGGUUCGCCGCCUGCGACAUCGCGAGAAGUCCACUGAACCUUAUCAUUUAGAGGAAGGAGAAGUCAUAACAAGGUUUUCGUAGGUGAACUGCGGAAGGAUCAUUG
Molecule: ribosomal RNA, 121 nt
Filed under: Korthalsia jala
Lineage: Eukaryota; Viridiplantae; Streptophyta; Magnoliopsida; Arecales; Arecaceae
Description: partial 18S ribosomal RNA
Rfam family: Eukaryotic small subunit ribosomal RNA
Source: RNAcentral